GGUUGUCCCGGUUUAAGCGUGUAGGCUGGUUUUCCAGGCAAAUCCGGAAAAUCAAGGCUGAGGCGUGAUGACGAGGCACUACGGUGCUGAAGCGACAAAUGCCCUGCUUCCAGGAAAAGCCUCUAAGCAUCAGGUAACAUUAAAUCGUACCCCAAACCGACACAGGUGGUCAGGUAGAGAAUACCAAGGCGCUUGAGAGAACUCGGGUGAAGGAACUAGGCAAAAUGGUGCCGUAACUUCGGGAGAAGGCACGCUGAUAUGUAGGUGAAGCGACUUGCUCGUGGAGCUGAAAUCAGUCGAAGAUACCAGCUGGCUGCAACUGUUUAUUAAAAACACAGCACUGUGCAAACACGAAAGUGGACGUAUACGGUGUGACGCCUGCCCGGUGCCGGAAGGUUAAUUGAUGGGGUUAGCGGUAACGCGAAGCUCUUGAUCGAAGCCCCGGUAAACGGCGGCCGUAACUAUAACGGUCCUAAGGUAGCGAAAUUCCUUGUCGGGUAAGUUCCGACCUGCACGAAUGGCGUAAUGAUGGCCAGGCUGUCUCCACCCGAGACUCAGUGAAAUUGAACUCGCUGUGAAGAUGCAGUGUACCCGCGGCAAGACGGAAAGACCCCGUGAACCUUUACUAUAGCUUGACACUGAACAUUGAGCCUUGAUGUGUAGGAUAGGUGGGAGGCUUUGAAGUGUGGACGCCAGUCUGCAUGGAGCCGACCUUGAAAUACCACCCUUUAAUGUUUGAUGUUCUAACGUGGGCCCCUUACCGGGGUUGCGGACAGUGUCUGGUGGGUAGUUUGACUGGGGCGGUCUCCUCCUAAAGAGUAACGGAGGAGCACGAAGGUUGGCUAAUCCUGGUCGGACAUCAGGAGGUUAGUGCAAUGGCAUAAGCCAGCUUGACUGCGAGCGUGACGGCGCGAGCAGGUGCGAAAGCAGGUCAUAGUGAUCCGGUGGUUCUGAAUGGAAGGGCCAUCGCUCAACGGAUAAAAGGUACUCCGGGGAUAACAGGCUGAUACCGCCCAAGAGUUCAUAUCGACGGCGGUGUUUGGCACCUCGAUGUCGGCUCAUCACAUCCUGGGGCUGAAGUAGGUCCCAAGGGUAUGGCUGUUCGCCAUUUAAAGUGGUACGCGAGCUGGGUUUAGAACGUCGUGAGACAGUUCGGUCCCUAUCUGCCGUGGGCGCUGGAGAACUGAGGGGGGCUGCUCCUAGUACGAGAGGACCGGAGUGGACGCAUCACUGGUGUUCGGGUUGUCAUGCCAAUGGCACUGCCCGGUAGCUAAAUGCGGAAGAGAUAAGUGCUGAAAGCAUCUAAGCACGAAACUUGCCCCGAGAUGAGUUCUCCCUGACUCCUUGAGAGUCCUGAAGGAACGUUGAAGACGACGACGUUGAUAGGCCGGGUGUGUAAGCGCAGCGAUGCGUUGAGCUAACCGGUACUAAUGAACCGUGAGGCUUAACC
RNAcentral lists this ribosomal RNA (1450 nucleotides) under human gut metagenome. RNAcentral describes it as "bacterial LSU rRNA". It matches the Rfam family "Bacterial large subunit ribosomal RNA", at positions 1500 to 2925 of the family's 2925-position model. The record is from RNAcentral.